This is a long non-coding RNA of Solanum lycopersicum (tomato), 458 nucleotides long. RefSeq lists it as uncharacterized. NCBI's taxonomy places the organism in Eukaryota, Viridiplantae, Streptophyta, Magnoliopsida, Solanales, Solanaceae. The record is from RefSeq and is a predicted model, not a curated record.
AACAAAACCCAAAAUCUCUCACCUCUCUCUACUUUGUCUCUCCCCAAUUCCUCCAUAGAAGAAGGAAGAAAGCUUGAAGAAGACGGUGAAUUUCUCUAGGAUUGAACUUCAGUUUUGUUGAUUAAGCUUCAAUAAGGUGUAUGGUAAAACCAUGGUGAAAGAGUUUGAAGGAUAUUUGGAUUCAGACGUGGAUAUUAGAGAAUGAUUUGUAGACUACUUGGAUUCUCAUCUUCCAUGUUUGGUAGGUCCUUUUUUUCCGAGGAUGAUGCCAUUAUAUACAUAUUUGAUGUUGUUUCUUCUUAAAAACACCUUGUUCAUUCUUCUUUUUUUUAUUUUGCUACUAUAAUUGUAAAGCCUAAAUGUGGUUAUAAUGGUUGAUGUAAGGGCUAUGCUCAAAUUGUGAUACUCUUGUGUAGAUUGUGUAAUAUGAGACAAUGUUAUAGACUUCUUAUGAGACU